AUCAUGUGGACCUCCCUUGUGCUUCUGGGGUUUUUGGUUGUCCGUUGCACGUCUGGCGCCUCUUAUACCGCAGUGCCAUCUGACACCCUGCCACUCGAUCCUGGGGUAACGCCAGCACCCAGCCUCGAUCUCUCCUACUGCCAGAUGCUUCUGGAGGCUCCAGUGCCACCUACUGCUGACCAGGUGCCCUGGUUCUGCAUGUGCUCCACCUGUCCCAACAACGCAGGACAGAAGGGAGAACAAGGAGACCCUGGACUGAGAGGACCUCCAGGUCGCACUGGCCCAAGGGGGCUAACAGGACCCCGUGGCCCACCAGGACACAUCGGUCAGCAGGGGAUAAAGGGUACGAGUUUAACAAAGAAUCUCCAUUCAGAACGUUGUGUAGUUCUAGUCUCAACAUAGGCUCACACCGAGAGACUUUAGUCUCAACUCAGGCUCUGAAAGUAUUUAUGUGGUCCAUAGUAUGUUGUCUAGAUCUUGUAUGACUGAUGAUUAAACUGAUUUACACACACAGGUGAGAAAGGUGACGAUGGAGUGAAAGGAGAUCCAGGUGUAGCGGGACCCACUGGUGCUAAGGGACAGAUUGGAAUGAAAGGUAAAUUAGAAACAAUAAAUCU
Molecule: long non-coding RNA, 617 nt
Filed under: Astyanax mexicanus (Mexican tetra)
Lineage: Eukaryota; Metazoa; Chordata; Actinopteri; Characiformes; Acestrorhamphidae
Description: lncRNA (ENSAMXG00005002437.1)
Source: RNAcentral